This is a long non-coding RNA of Condylura cristata (star-nosed mole), 306 nucleotides long. RefSeq lists it as uncharacterized. Lineage: Eukaryota; Metazoa; Chordata; Mammalia; Eulipotyphla; Talpidae. The transcript is spliced from 2 exons. The record is from RefSeq and is a predicted model, not a curated record.
ACAACAGCAGCUACCACAGCAGCAGCUACUGCUGCCACUACUGUCGCAGACACAACCACGGCUGACACAACAGCAGAUACCACAGUUGCAGCCACAACCGUCUAAUCUUAAUCAUCUCAGUCAUAGGUCCUCGUUUGAUGAAAUGUUAAACUUCGCACCUUAUCUUUUGCCAAUUUUGCCUCAAGAAUUGACUAUCAUCGCACUUCAGAAAUGACACCAUUCUAGAAAUUCUGCUUCUUUCAUACACUCACAUCCUGUUUAAUUUUAUUUCUUCAGCAUUUAUUUAAUAAAUCACUUUCAAACUCA